Molecule: long non-coding RNA, 366 nt
Filed under: Brassica napus (rape)
Lineage: Eukaryota; Viridiplantae; Streptophyta; Magnoliopsida; Brassicales; Brassicaceae
Description: long non-coding RNA (BNAP_LNC015889)
Source: RNAcentral
AAUUCGAAAUUCAAACCCUAAACCCUAAAACUCAACUCUAAACCCUAAACCAUCAAUCAUAAACCCUAUUUUUUUCGAAAUACGAACCCUAAACCCUAAACCAUCAAUUCUAUACUUUUUUUUUAAAUAAACCCUAAACCCUGAAACAUCAACUCUAAUCUCUAAACCCCGAAACAUCAACUCUAAACCAUAAACCCUAAACCUUCUUCAAAAAUCAACUCUAAACCCUAAACCCUAAACCCUAAAACAUCAACUCUAAACCCUAAACCCUAAACUUCAACUCUAAACCCUAAACCAUCAACACUAAACCCUAAACUAUCAACACUAAACCCUAAACCCUAAAGAGUAAACUCUAAACCCUAAACC